This 253-nucleotide ribosomal RNA is filed under the name uncultured bacterium. Its description in RNAcentral is "partial 16S ribosomal RNA". It matches the Rfam family "Bacterial small subunit ribosomal RNA", at positions 524 to 776 of the family's 1533-position model. The record is from RNAcentral.
UACAGAGGGUGCGAGCGUUAAUCGGAAUUACUGGGCGUAAAGCGCACGUAGGCGGCUUUGCAAGUCGGGUGUGAAAUCCCCGGGCUCAACCUGGGAACUGCAUCCGAGACUGCUUUGCUCGAGUAUGGGAGAGGGAAGUGGAAUUUCCGGCGUAGCGGUGAAAUGCGUAGAUAUCGGAAGGAACAUCAGUGGCGAAGGCGACUUCCUGGACCAAUACUGACGCUCAGGUGCGAAAGCGUGGGGAGCAAACAGG